This is a long non-coding RNA of Tripterygium wilfordii, 1472 nucleotides long. RefSeq lists it as uncharacterized. The record is from RefSeq and is a predicted model, not a curated record. The transcript has 5 exons. Lineage: Eukaryota; Viridiplantae; Streptophyta; Magnoliopsida; Celastrales; Celastraceae.
AGAAAUCGAAGAGAGAGAGAUCAUAGAUGGAGACGAGAGGGAUCUGCGGGACAGUGCCGAUGACGUCUCCUUCUUCUCCAACAGCUGGCGUAAAGACUCGCUCAUUGUUUAUGGACGGCAUCGGCAACGACAAGAAACGCACCUCCGAUCCGUCUACAAGGUCUCCUUCUCGCAAAACCCUAACCUCUGUCUCCGAUCUCAAGGAUCUUCUGUCUUCGCGCCUCGAUGAUGUGAGGAGAAAUCUUAUCGAUUAGUCGCACUCAGAAAUUCUCAAGGACUCAUAAGCCUCCCACUCUCACCUCCACAAACGCUUGAAGCUUACUUUCACAGGCACAAGAUAUUUUGUUGAAGUGUUGGAAAGAUAAAAGAGCUUUGACUAAUAUACAGAUAAGAGCGUCCAAGCAAGUGAUGGAUGAAACCGAGAUAGAAUAUAAGAAGAUCAAUGGGCUGAUCAGUGAAACUCAGGAAGCAAUGAAGGUUUCAUAUGCAGAGUUCCUGUCAGAGGCACAGACCGCUGCAUCUCGUGGUACGCUUGUAUUAUUUUCCCUUUUCUCUGAUCUUUGAUGGUUUGAUAUUAAAAUGACUCGAAUGCAAAAGACCUGAACUCUAAAUUGUGACUGCCUGGGUGCGAUGAACUUUGUUAAGCAUAUUUGUCAGUCCUGUUGAUGAAUUCCAUGUAAUAUCCUCUGUCAAAAGUUGGCCUUACCUGAAAGAUAACUGAAUAUAAACUGCUGCAUUCAAAGGGGUUGUCACAGGCGUCCUCUGUUGAUAGGUUUACAGAGUAAUGUUAAUCCUAUGCAGAAUUUUAGAUCAAAUCCUCUGUGCAUGUGGAUAUAAGCUUGUUUAUUAUUAAUUCAAUUUUUUCAGUGUGCAAAACAUUCAUCACUGAGCUUUCAAAAUCUUUUGAGGAAAUUGAUGGUCUCAGGAAGCGUUUUGGAUCUUCAUCAACUUAGGGUUAUCUCAAUUCUCGACCGAGCUACUUACAAAGAGAAAUUCCUUAGACAAUUGCAUAGAGAGCCGGUCAUGUAUAUUACAGAAAUAGUGGGCUUGAUGGUCUUGAAAGAAUCUGCGCUUUUAUUUCCUGUUGCCUUAUUUGUAAAAUAAUCGUAGGAAAAAGGAUUGCCGUGGCGUCAAUGGGUCUCAAGGAGACAUGGACCCUUGACCUUCCGAUUCACCCAUCCCACCUGUCGAGUAAAAUAAACUAGACUUAAGUACCAAGCAAAAUCUAAUAGGCUUCACGGCCAAAUUACUGGGUAGAGUGGUACGAACAGAUAGAAGGCCCAAUAGUAAAGCCUUAGCAGAUGAUUGGGCCACAUACGAAGUACAAUAUUUCAAGGCCCAAAUUACUGGAUUUAGUGGUCCAAACUUUAAACAGAUAAAAGGCCCAAUAGUAAGGAACAUAUUGGGCUUUCAUAUUUGGCCCAUAAUCUGUUUACGCUUUAUUAUUGGAAUAGAUUAAUCUGUUUACUGGA